UGGGGAAUAUUGGACAAUGGGCGCAAGCCUGAUCCAGCCAUGCCGCGUGUGUGAAGAAGGCCUUAGGGUUGUAAAGCACUUUCAUUGGGGAGAAAGGCUGUUUAGUUAAUACCUAAGCAGAUUGAUGUUACCCAAAGAAGAAGGACCGGCUAACUCCGUGCCAGCAGCCGCGGUAAUACGGAGGGUCCAAGCGUUAAUCGGAAUUACUGGGCGUAAAGCGCGCGUAGGCGGUUAAUUAAGCGAGAUGUGA
RNAcentral lists this ribosomal RNA (250 nucleotides) under uncultured bacterium. Its description in RNAcentral is "partial 16S ribosomal RNA". It matches the Rfam family "Bacterial small subunit ribosomal RNA", at positions 355 to 597 of the family's 1533-position model. The record is from RNAcentral.